This is a ribosomal RNA of 150 nucleotides. It matches the Rfam family "Eukaryotic large subunit ribosomal RNA", at positions 1 to 151 of the family's 3401-position model.
GACCUCAAAUCAGGUAGGACUACCCGCUGAACUUAAGCAUAUCAAUAAGCGGAGGAAAAGAAACCAACCGGGAUUGCCUCAGUAACGGCGAGUGAAGCGGCAAAAGCUCAAAUUUGGAAUCUGGCGCCCUCGGCGUCCGAGUUGUAAUUU